AGUCGUAACAAGGUUUCCGUAGGUGAACCUGCGGAAGGAUCAUUAAUGAUUAACUGUCUGUCGAGCUUGCUCACAGACUUAUCAUAUCCAUAACACCUGUGCACUUGUCGGAUGGCUUAGUGAAGACCGCAAGGUUGGAUCUAUCCAUCUACUUUACAUAACAAUUUAGUAACAAAUGUAGUCUUAUUAUAACAUAAUAAAACUUUCAACAACGGAUCUCUUGGCUCUCGCAUCGAUGAAGAACGCAGCGAAAUGCGAUAAGUAAUGUGAAUUGCAGAAUUCAGUGAAUCAUCGAAUCUUUGAACGCACCUUGCGCUCCCUGGUAUUCCGGGGAGCAUGCCUGUUUGAGUGUCAUGAAAACCCUCAACCUUAGAUUGGUUAACACCUUUCUUUGGCUUGGAUUUGGACGUUUGCCGAUGAUAAGUCGGCUCGUCUUAAAAGUAAUAGCUGGAUCUGUCUCGCGACAUGGUUUGACUUGGCGUAAUAAGUAUUUCGCUAAGGACAUCUUCGGAUGGCCGCGUUGCAAGACUAAAGACCGCUUUCUAAUCCAUUGAUCUUCGGAUUAAUAUUCUUGACAUCUGGCCUCAAAUCAGGUAGGACUACCCGCUGAACUUAAGCAUAUCAAUAAGCGGAGGAA
Molecule: unclassified non-coding RNA, 637 nt
Filed under: Naganishia diffluens
Lineage: Eukaryota; Fungi; Basidiomycota; Tremellomycetes; Filobasidiales; Filobasidiaceae
Description: sequence contains 18S rRNA gene, ITS1, 5.8S rRNA gene, ITS2, 28S rRNA gene
Rfam family: 5.8S ribosomal RNA (bases 201-354)
Source: RNAcentral